RNAcentral lists this transfer RNA (72 nucleotides) under Sugiyamaella lignohabitans. RNAcentral describes it as "Candida lignohabitans tRNA". It matches the Rfam family "tRNA". From Rfam's summary of the family: Transfer RNA (tRNA) molecules are approximately 80 nucleotides in length. Their secondary structure includes four short double-helical elements and three loops (D, anti-codon, and T loops). The record is from Rfam by way of RNAcentral. Lineage: Eukaryota; Fungi; Ascomycota; Dipodascomycetes; Dipodascales; Trichomonascaceae.
GGACUAAUAGCUUAACGGUAAAGUGUCUACUUGUCACGUAGAAGGAUGUCUGUUCAAAUCAGACCUAGUUCG